Molecule: long non-coding RNA, 19570 nt
Filed under: Malus domestica (apple)
Lineage: Eukaryota; Viridiplantae; Streptophyta; Magnoliopsida; Rosales; Rosaceae
Description: long non-coding RNA (MDOM_LNC007859)
Source: RNAcentral
CCCUGUCAGUCUCCCCUAUUUUUGUUAAUUUCAGAAACACAAAACAACAUCAGUCCUUGUGUUUGCUUUGUAUAAGAAAAAAACAACGAUGAAGAUUCAAGAACUAUACCAACUGCAUCAUAAACCACAUCGAAUUUCUCGGGCAGGUCUUCGAAGUUCUCCUUGGUGUAAUCAAUAGCCAAAUCAGCACCAAAGCUUCUCAAAAGAUCAAGUUUUUUCGUGCUCGCUGUAGCUGCUACUUUUGAAGCACCAAACACAUGCUUUGCUAGCUGCCUCACAUAAACACAUUGAGUGUCAUGAAUAAUUCAUCGAUCAGCUUUACUUAAUUACAGCCUAACUUAAUGGAAAAUGUUUGCACUUGAUUAACAUUGUACCUGAAUAACAUGUGUUCCGACUCCCCCAGCGCCUCCCAAAACAAGGAUGGAUUUACCGGCAGAGAAUUCAACUCGUUCGAGCCCUUCAUAGGCAGUCUCAAUGGCCAGGGGAAGGCUAGCAGCUUCAACAAAACUCAGAUUUUUGGGCUUAAGAGCUAACACUCUUUCUUCUGCAGCAGUGUACUCGGCCAAAGAUCCGAUCUUUUUCGGCUUAUCGAUAGCCUUCUCGUUGAGAUCCCCAUAUACUUCAUCCCCCACAUUAAACUUUGUCACCCGGCUUCCUACUUUCACCACCACACCAGCAACAUCAUACCCUGGAACCGUCUGCAAACAAGUUAAUUUAAUAAAAUUAAUAUUUUAGCAAACAAGCAAAUUGGGUUUACACUAGAAUUUGAAGAUCAACUUUGAUUCUUCAAAGCAAGUUUCUUGUUAUUUCUUAACCUUUCAAUUUUUAUUUUACUUUACAAGAUGAUAAUUUAAACUAAUCUACAUGUGGGGAUUCAAACUUGGGUGUCAUCAUCUAAAGAAGAACGAGCACAUUGUUCUGGCCAACUUACGUAAUACGCGUUUGUCUAAAGAAAAACAAGGACAAUGCUCUAACCAACUGACAUAAUACGCGUUUACAAAAAGAAAAUUUAUUCUAACAAAAAGAUCAACUAGAUCAGCUUUGAUUCUUCAAAUAUAUUUAACUAAAUUAUAAGUUGGUAAAGACUAAAACUUUUAAAUCCCCCAACUCACAAACUAAUCCUGCAUUUGACUUCAGUGAAAAAAAUGAAGAGAGAGAGAGAGAGAGGCUACAGGGGGUGAAGAGUCAGAGUCCUUGAAGUAGCCAAGCAUCCUUUUGAAAUCAACUGGGUUGAGAGAUGCAGCAACCACCUUGAUCAGCACCUGGUCUUCCUUUAUUUCAGGAACAGGAACAUUCGGAUCGAACUUCAAAACAUCUGCAGACUUUCCGUACUCUGAGUACACCCACGCCUUGUUUACUGAUGGUAUGGAAACUGAAUCACUUGAAGCUACAACAGCCGCCAUUGAUGCACUGCAAAAACCACAAGAAAAAGGGAAAGGGUUUGUUGUUGUUGUUGUGAGCAAAUGAGUUAGAUCAGAUCAGAGUGUGAUAUCUCGACAGCGUGUCGUUUUAAAGGGAAGGAGAAGGAUGUGGAACCUUGGUGUUUGCCUACGUGGCCGUAUAAGAAAAAACUCCAAAUGAUGCAUCAAGAUGUACUGUUAGUUAGGUUCAGUGGGACAACAUGCCAAAUUAUGCAUGUAGACGCAUCGUUACUUGAGGUUCGUUGUGUGCGGCAACAACAACAACAACAACAACAACAAAGCCUUUUCCCACUAAGUGGGGUCGGCUAUAUGAAUCCUAGAACGCCAUUGCGCUCGGUUUUGUGUCAUGCCCUCCGUUAGAUCCAAGUACUCUAAGUAUUUUCUUAGAGUCUCUUCCAAAGUUUUCCUAGGUCUUCCUCUACCCCUUCGGCCCUGAACCUCUGUCCCGUAGUCACAUCUUCGAACCGGAGCGUCAGUCGGCCUUCUUUGCACAUGUCCAAAUCACCAGAGCCGAUUUUCUCUCAUCUUUCCUACAAUUUCGGCUACUCCUACUUUACCUCGGAUAUCCUCAUUCCCAAUCUUAUCCUUUCUCGUGUGCCCACACAUCCCACGAAGCAUCCUCAUCUCCGCUACACCCAUUUUGUGUACGUGUUGAUGCUUCACCACCCAACAUUCUCUGCCAUACAACAUCGCUGGCCUUAUUGCCGUCCUAUAAAAUUUUCCCUUGAGCUUCAGUGGCCUACGACGGUCACACAACACACGCCGGAUGCACUCUUUCCAUCCAGCUCGUAUUCUAUGGUUGAGAUCUCCAUCUAAUUCUCCGUUCUCUUGCAAGAUAGAUCCUAGGUAACGAAAACGGUCGCUUUUUGUGAUCUUCGCUAGAUUGCUCCGGUCAUUAGUGUGGAUAAGUAUAUAAAUGGAUAGAGAUAGGAAAGCAAACACAAGAUGUACGUGGUUCACCCAGAUUGGCUACGUCCACGGAAUAUAAGAGUUCUCAUUAAUUGUGAAGGGUUUACACAAGUACAUAGGUUCAAGCUCUCCUUUAGUGAGUACGAGUGAAUGAUUUAGUACAAAUGACAUUAGGAAAUAUUGUGGGAGAAUGAUCUCGUAAUCACGAAACUUCUAAGUAUCGGAGUGUGGUGUCGUCUUGACUUGCCUUAUCUGUCUCAUAGGUAGAUGUGGCAUCUUCUCUGGAAGUACUCUUCCUCCAUCCAGGGGUGGUAUCUUUAACUGGUGGAGAUGCACAAGGUAAUGUAUCAAUUUCACUUGAAGCUUACUUGUAGUUUCAGGCUUGGUCAAGCGCGAUACAAACCAUGUAGUAGGAGUCCCCCAAGUCGCCGAGCUAGGGGGUCUGCUGAAAGAGGUGACAGACAAGGUAAGCAAUCAGAGCUCCGACUGAUUGUUCACCUUCUCCCCAUCUUGCAGCAGCAUGAAGGAUAAAGAGAAGAAAGAUGAGAAGAGAUGAUAUGAGAUACUUUUGCUUUUGAAGAAGUAACUUUCCACAGGCUUAUUCUUGAACUGAGCUGGAGGGUUUUCUGGUUUCCUCCAGAGUAUAAGGCCGACUGAAGAAUUUGAGGGUCAAAACAAGUCCAUCAAAUCUAGAGUACGUUCCACCCUGCUGAUAUAGGAUACUUUUGCUUUUGACAGAGUAAUGGAUGUAUCGGCACGUGUGCUGUUACGCUUGUCUCCACAUGCUUCCUUGUAUCCUUCGCACUUGCCCUAUCUGUUCCUCAAGCAGAUGCGGAAUCUUCCCUGGAAACAUAAGAUGAUGAAGAUGAGUACUCGAGAGCAAUGCCAGGUAAGUAAUCAGGUAAGGGGUUCCAGGCAGUCAGUUCCUGGCUGGAAGCUUGAUUCCAAGUGCUGACUGAUUGCUCUCUUUCUCCUUGUCUUGCAGGUAAAAACAAGGCCAAAAGAAAAAACAGGGAAAAAGCAUGAUAUGGGAUACUCUUGCUUUUAACCCUGAUGAUAUGAGAUAUUCUUGCUCUAGUAUAGCUUGUUUGCAGAGGUAUUAUCGGGGGGAAAGAAAGCUGAAUAUUUCGAAAGGCUUUGUUGGGAGUGCCCUCUCAGAUAUGAUGAAGGGUUGAGCAUUUUUUGCAGGUCUGCCUGUCCGUUGGGGAUGGAGGUCGACAUAUAUAGGAGUCUCCCUAACAACAAGUAGUAAAUGCUAUUCCUUUACCCUGCUUGGUCAUAGCACGGUAGUGGGAGCUGCCAGUUUCACAUGUUUUAACUCUGUCAGAGCACUUUGAAAAAGUGGUCUGUGGUAUCUGGCUCUCGAGAUUCGGAGAACGAUGCCUCUUCGAUUUUUGAGAAAGCAAUCAUGCUGGGGGUCUGACUCUCGAGAUUCGGAGAGCAGUGUCUCUUCGAUUUUUGAGGAAGUAAUCAUGUUGGGAGUCUGGCUCUCGAGAUUCGGAAGGCGGUGCCUCUUCGAUUUUGGAGCAAGCAAUCUUGUUGGGAGUGUUGUCUCGAAUGUGAGUAAAGGUUGGACAUGUUUGCUAGUCUACCUUGCCACGAAGCACAAAGGUUGACACACAUGGACUUUCCAAUUAUCCAGCAAUGGUACUGUUCCUUUACCCUCUCUUCGAUUUUGAGAAAGUAGUCAUGUUGGGAGUCUGGCUCUCGAGAUUCGGAGGAAGGUGCCUCUUCGAUUUUGGAGCAAGCAAUCUUGUUGGGACUGUUUUCUCGAAUGUGAGUAAAGGUUGGGCAUGUUUGCUAGUCUACCUUGCCACGAAGCACAGAGGUUGACACACAGGGACUUUCCAAUUAUCCAGCAGUGGUACUGUUCCUUUACCCUUGUGGGUAAUAAUAUGGUAGCUAGACCUUCAAAAUUUUAUGUGUCUAAACUUUGUUAGUGCUGUUUCUUUGCUAUUCUUUUACCUUUCUUGGUCAGAGCGAUGUAGUGGGAGCUGCAAGCUUCACGUGCUCAACUUUGGCAGAGAACUUUGGCAAAGUGAUCUGUGGUACCCAUGAGUUAUUGUUGCGUGUGGGAAGUGGGUGAUUGAACAGUAAGAUUCAUGUGCUUUCUACUUCACCAGAAGUCUUCGACAGAAUGCCCAUAAUUUCUGCAAAGCUGAGUGUGCGUGUGACAGGUGCUGACAAGGCUAGAAAAGUAGGUGCCUCUUCGAUUUCUGAGAUCGGCCCUCGUGGUCUCUGAGCAGCCCAGCUUUUGAGAAAGCGAGCGCCUCUUCGAUUGAUUCGGAGAACGGUGCCUCACCGAUUUUUGAGAAAGCAAUCAUGCUGGGGGUCUGGCUCUCGAGAUUCGGGGAGCAGUGUCUCUUCGAUUUUUGAGAAAGUAAUCAUGUUGGGAGAGUGGCUCUCGAGAUUCGGAGGGCGGUGCCUCUUCGAUUUUGGAGCAAGCAAUCUUGUUGGGAGUGUUUUUCUCGAAUGUGAGUAAAGGUUGGGCAUGUUUGCUAGUCUACCUUGCCACGAAGCACAGAGGUUGACACACAGGGACUUUCCAAUUAUCCAGCAAUGGUACUGUUCCUUUACCCUCUCUUCGAUUUUUAAUAAAGUAGUCAUGUUGGGAGUCUGGCUCUUUAGAUUCGGAGGACGGUGCCUCUUCGAUUUUGGAGCAAGCAAUCUUAUUGGGAGUGUUUUCUCGAAUGUGAGUAAAGGUUGGGCAUGUUUGCUAGUCUACCUUACCACGAAGCACAGAGGUUGACAUACAUGGACUUUCCAAUUAUCCAGCAGUGGUACUGUUCCUUUACCCUUGUGGGUAAUAAUAUGGUAGCUAGACCUUCAAAAUUUAUGGGUCUAAACUUUGUUAGUGCUGUUUCUUUGCUAUUCUUUUACCCUUCUUGGUCAGAGCGAUGUAGUGGGAGCUGCAAGCUUCACGUGCUCAACUUUGGCAGAGAACUUUGGCAAAGUUAUCUGUGGUACCCAUGAGCUAUUGUUGCGUGUGGGAAGUGGGUGAUUGAACAGUAAGAUUCAUGUGUUUUCUACUUCCCCAGAAGUCUUUGACAGAAUGCCCAUAAUUUCCGCAAAGCUGAGUGUGCGUGUGACAGGUGCUGACAAGGCUGGAAAAGUAGGUGCCUCUUCGAUUUCUGAGAUCGGCCCUCGUGGUCUCUAGGGAGCCCAGCUUUUGAGAAAGCGAGCGCCUCUUCGAUUUCUGAGAUCGGCCUUCGUGGUCUUUGAGCAGCCCAACUUUUGAGAAAGCAAACGGCUCUUCGAUUUCUGAGAUCAACCCUCGUGAUCUCUAAGCAGCCCAACUUUUGAGAAAGCAAACGCCUCUUCGAUUUCUGAGCAGGCGCCUCUUUGAUUUCUGAAGCUCCGUCGAGUGCAGAUUUUUAUAGAGGCUGGCAUUAAGUUCCAAAGCACACUUGAAUCUCCACCAGUAGAAGCUUCAUUCUUGCACUUCUAAGAUCUUGAUUUGUCCGACCUCUUCUCUUUUCAACACCUUUGAAAAUGUAUGGCCCCUCCGACCGUCGUUUUGACUUGAACCUUGUUGAAGAGGCAGCCCCGCCUUCUCCAGACAACAUAUGGCGCCCAUCCUUCGUCUCCCCAACUGGUCCUCUUACCGUUGGGGAUUCCGUGAUGAAGAAUGAUAUGACCGCUGCGGUGGUGGCCAGGAACCUUCUCACUCCCAAAGAUAACAGACUACUUUCCAAACGGUCUGAUGAGUUAGCUGUUAAGGAUUCGCUGGCUCUCAGUGUUCAGUGUGCAGGUUCUGUGUCUAAUAUGGCCCAACGCCUAUUUGCUCGAACCCGCCAAGUUGAAUCAUUGGAGGCUGAAGUGAUGAGUCUCAAACAGGAGAUUAGAGGGCUCAAGCAUGAGAAUAAACAGUUGCACCGGCUCGCACAUGACUAUGCUACAAACAUGAAGAGGAAGCUUGACCAGAUGAAGGAAACUGAUGGUCAGGUUUUACUUGAUCAUCAGAGAUUUGUGGGUUUGUUCCAAAGGCAUUUAUUGCCUUCGUCUUCUGGGGCUGUACCGCGUAAUGAAGCUCCAAAUGAUCAACCUCUGAUGCCUCCUCCUUCUAGGGUUCUGUCCAGUACUGAGGCUCCAAAUGAUCCCCCUCCGGUGCCUUCUCUUUCUGGGGCUCUACCGACUGCUGAGACUUCUCCUAAGCAACCUUUGUGAAGGCUCCCUCUUGUGUGUUUAUUUUGACUCAUGUAUAUGUACAUAUUUGUAGCUUAUCGGGGAUAUCAAUAAAUAAGCUUUCCUUCAUUUCAACGUAUUGUGUUAAAUACACCAAAGCCUUCUUCGCUAAGUUCUUUGAAUUUUCUUUUGUUGAAGCUUGUAUGUUGAAGCUUUCUGAGUGGAGCAUGUAACGUCGCUGAUAUCUAGCGUCGAAGUUUUCUUCCUUAUAUAUCCUUAUCCUUGAAUUUUCUUCUUUCUUGUUGACACGUCUAACAAGAAAUAUAAGAAGAAAAAACCCAGCAGUUUCCGUGACUUGGCUCUUUUGUAAGUAAGUGCUUACGUAAGAAAUAUUAAUUUAUAACUUUAGGUAGGUUACUAUUAUUAUUUUUUAAUAAAUGAUAUUAUCUUAUACUAAGAUCAUCUUCAUUUGAUGGGGUAAAGCUAAAAAUAUAAGUUUUAAAACCUCCCAAACCAUCUCCAACCAUGGGCUAAAAUAAGCCAUGGAGAGAAAAUACAUCUCUAGGCUAGAUUCCUUCCAGAGUUUAAGUCGGGCUUAAAUUAUUCUGAACCUACAAAACUGUCAUAUUUUGACACGCCCCGAUCCCGAUAUUCCUCGAAUACCAAGAUAGGCACGUGCUGGCCGACACCCAAGGGUGACGAAAGCCAUUAAUUGAAUGCAAAUGCUGAGAAUAAGGAAUAGAUAAGGUUUAUAAAUAUAAAAGAAUAAAGAAUAUGCAUUUAAGGAACGUGUUCAGAGCACACAUCUAAUCGAGAAUAUUAGAAGAAUUAACAUAAACAAAUUGAAUGAACACAGAACUGGGUCCUACACCUAGAGGACUCGAAGAUACCGAUGCGGAAGUGUCUGGAUGCCGGGAUUGUACGCCUCGAUUCUAAGUCCUGAAGGGGGUGCAAAACAAACAUGAGUGGACCAAGUUGAUAUAUAUAUAAUAAAACAGUUAUCAACGUACUAACCCCCAGGUUUAUGAAAACAUAUAUAUAAUGAUAAACAUAGGUUUUCCGAAUUCUAGCAUGAUGUGCAGUAUCUCAAAUCAUAACUCAUAUAUAAUAAUCACUAGUGAAUUGUCCGAUAACCCCCAGGCCCCAUGCCGGCUCCCCGUCUCUGAGCAGACAGUCAGAGGAAAAUACACUUCAGGCCCCAUGCCGGCUCCCCGUCCCUGGUCUUAAAUGCCAGAGGAAACACCCUCCAGGCCCUAUGCCAACACCAAACCGUCGCCCGGGACGGACCGGAAUCUAUCCCUACGUCCCGUAGCAGAAAGGACCACUAGGUAAGUACAAAACCAUUGACAUAUAUAUAUAUUGAAAAACAACUUCAUAGUAUAAAGUCAUCCAUCAUCUAUACUAUAAAGAGGUGUUCGAAACAUGUUCUACAUAUCAUAUCGUCAUCCAUCGGAUAUUCUAUAAGAACAUGGGUUAUAGGAAAAAUAGUAAUAAUUCAAACUAGCCUUAGUAAGCAUGUUAUCUCAAAACGUUUCAUAAAACGUAAUCAUUAAAUCAUGCCUUUCAUGUAUGCAUUUCUACUAUUAAAACAUGCUUUUGAAGGGGUCCACUCACAGUACUUAGCCGCCGAAGAGUCACGCAAACUAACGAACAAGAAAACGUCACCAAUAAUUGCCCCUAAGCACAUAAAGGGUCCAAUUAAUAAAACUCUAGUUUAACAAUUGAAUUGGGAAAAUGGACUUCAAAAACGGGUCCAGGAUGUCGAAAUUAGCCUAGGAGAGGUCCUGGACGAAACCUCGAAAAGUUAACUCAAAAAGUCAACGUUGACCGUUGACCGGUCAAAGUCAAAGUCAACGUCAAAGUCAACUCUGACCGUUGACUAGGUCAACAAUCAGAGUCAACUAGUCAAGGACAAAGCCAAAAUGGGCUUGGGGUUUGGGUUUUAAUUAAGCUAAAGGGACUUGGGAAAAGGGCUGAAAGCCCACUUUACAAUUGGCCCUAAGGCCUUACUUCCUAAAACAGAAAAUAAAUAAAAACCUUAAAAAGGUUUCUUGGGUUUGACUAAUGGGCUACGGGCCCUAAAUUCCUAAUGGCCCGAAGGCCUUUAAGGGUCCUAAAACAAUUACAAUUAAAUAAAAUAAUUAAAAGUAAAAAUAGGCUAGGGUUUUGGGCUUGGCUCCCCAAACCACACGGGCCUAAGGCCCGCUUAGCAUGGAACCGGCCUGGGAGGCCUGUCUCGCCGGAGCACCACCACCGGAGCUUCACAGCUCCGGCCGACUUCCACACACAACCCUAGACUUCGAUCUAGGUACCAAAACGAAGAGCAAGACGAGGGGAGUAUUUCUAUACCUUCCUUUCGUCGUGGAAUGGCCGGAGAUGGCCGGAAAAACCCCCGAGGUCGCCGGAGUUGGGUGUGCUUACACCCGGCUUCAAUUUCGUCCUAUAACCUCCAAAAAUCACGAAUUAACUCCAAUUAAACCUCAAUCUCGCAAGAAUCAAGGACGAAAAGAGAGAAUUAGGGGCUUACCUAACCGGAGAUUGAAAAAUCUCGCCGGAGCUCCUUUUCCGGUUCUCUGGGGUCGCGGGAACGAGAGGGAGAGAGAGAGAGAGAGCAGGACGCGGUGAUGAAGGGUGAUGGGCUUCCUCGCGCAGGGAGAUGGGUGCGUGCAUGUGUGCGCGGUGCAGAGAAGAGGGAGAGAAGUGAGAGAUGAGAGAGAGCCGAGAGGGAGAGACAGGAAGAAAGAAAAGAAAAACAGAAAAGAAGAAGAAAGAAGGGAGUUCACGGGGGGGGGGGGACAGAGAGAGAAGAAGGUGAAAUUGUUUGGGGUGCUGCCACGUGGCAGAUUUAGAAAGAAAGGGAUCCAUUUUCAGAUUGGGUAGAUAAAAUGGGACAAAAUUGAUAUAAUUAAAAUGUUUUGGGGUAAUUACAUACAUAUAUUUUUAUAAUUAGGGGGCGGGUGUUACAUAUUUCAAACAUUUUUUAAUUUUUUACUUAUAAUCUAACGGCUAUGAUCAAAUGAGAUUAAAUCUAAUAGUAAAAGAAAGAUUUGACGGUCCAAAAUUAAAUAAUGUCUAAAAUAAUUUAAGAAAAUGAUUUACAUCAAAUUUAACUUAAAAUUUUAUAAAUACCUAUGUAUUUGUAUGAUUUAUAAUUACUUAUUAUCGAAAGUUAAAUAUUUUAAGACUAAAAUGUUCAUAAAAAUAAAUUAAGAUAAUCUACAUAAUUUUAUUUUUUUUUUAAGAAAAGUUAUCGAAAACAAAAGGUUUGGCUAAAAUCAUUAUUUAAUCAUCACGGGCUAAAAUUUUAAGCCACAAGGGUUGGAUGAAAAAAGCAGUUUUUGGCUUAUGGCUUAAAAUUUUAAGUUUUAUGCCCAAGGGUUGGAGAUGGUCUAAAGGAGUGAGGGAAGUGGGCUAAGCCCCACAAUGAGCUAGCAAUAAUGUGGUUCAAAUUAGUAAAGGUGCAGUUAAAAAAUAUUAUUUAUAGACUUAUUAGAGGUAUAGUUAAAAAAUAUUAUUAGGGAAUUGUUAUUAGCACUCCAAAAAUCUCAUUUGGCACUCCAAACUUUCUAUAAUUAGAAAGAAAAAUACACUUAUAAUGAGUGUAUAAUGAGAUUUUUGGAAUGCUAAUAACAGUUCCCUAUUAUUAAUUGACUUAUUUAUCUUUAAUUAAUGUUGUAUUUUCUAAAUAGGAUUUCUGAAAAGGACAAUAUGAAAAUACAAAAAAAGUUUCAUGCCAAGAAGUUGUAAACAUGCUUAAGAAAUUAGAAACAUUUUGGCUUCAAUAAGAAGGUGUCAUGUUGAUAGAGUAUUAUGUACUUGCAAGUUCAAAGUCGUAGCAACAACUCCAAAAACUAAAGCAUUGCCUCAGACAAUUUUAGAUAAAUAUUUUAGUUCAUCUUAAACUUUUAUUUAUGGUAUUGCAUAUUUUUGUACUCGAACAACUUUAGAGAAAUAUUUUAGUUUCCUUAAGAUGAGACUAAGAAAAAUUAUAACUUAUUAAAAUGUAGAGUUUAUUCCUAUGCAUAACUAGUCUUUUAAGUUGGGACCAUAAUCUUUUGUGACUUGAGGUUAUUCCUUUAUGGAGUAUUACUUUAGAAAGGUUUUACUGUAGUUAAGGCGUUUUUUAUGAAAGCGCUUUCAUUAAAAACAAAUCAAAGUUUUUAUUAUAAACCCAAUUGCACUUUUUUAGUUGAUGAAGGGAGAAUGUUGUGCAGGCAUUGUCACUUGAGGUUCACUGUGUGAGAACAAGUUACGCAACUCAAGUUCUGUUUCUUAUUUUUCACGACUAAGGCAUUCAAUUGAAGUUUACUUUCUUACUUAUCACACCUACAACAAGAAAAACAAGACGAAGAAAAAAACACCUGUACUUUUGUAGUUGACCUAGUUUAAAUGGAAGUGCUAAAUAAGAGCAAAUAUAUCUGCUCUAACCAAUGCCUGUGUUAAAGCAAAAAAACACAACAAUGAGCAAGUAGGAAGAAAACACAGUGAAAACUAGCCAAACUCGAAGCACUAUAUUUGUAUAUAUAUAAUUGCGCCGCCCUUAUUACAAGUCUUUUUAAACAGCAGGCAGCAGGAUACAAGUAUAUAUCACACACAAACAGAUUGCAUGGCUGAACUAGUACUCUCUAUGAUUUCAUGGAAUGGGAUACACAACCACCUUUCCGGUAGCUCUGGAGGUUUCAAGAUAGGCAAAUGCUUCAACAUUCUUCGAAAAUGGAUACGGCCCGGUGGGAUCAAGCACCGGCCUCACCUUCCCACUCUCCAAGUAAGGCUUCAGUUUCUCUAAUACAGUUCCGGUUGAAGUCAGCAUAAAUAGGAAUGCCGGUGGCGCUACUGGACGUACAAUUGUCAGUACCUUCCCGCCUGCCUUCACCAUCUUCACUGCCCUGUCAGUCUCCCCUAUUUUUGUUAAUUUCAGAAACACAAAACAACAUCAGUCCUCGUGUUUGAUUAAUUCCUGAUAAAUAAAUAAAAAAUGUUGUAACCUUGAUGUAUUUUAUUUGGUUGGAUAGCAUCAUGCAUUGAAUUGUUUAAGCUUAAUUUAUGUAAGAAAGAACCAACAAUGAAGAUUCAAGAAUCAUCCCAACUGCGCCAUAAACCACAUCGAAUUCCUCGGGCAGGUCUACGAAGUUUGUUGGGGACAACACAUGUAAACAAAUUACUUAUAUUACACACACAAAAUAUUACAACACACUCUCAAGGACACACUUUAGAAGCUACGACACUUACUCACUCAAGAGACACACUCUAGACCACUCACACUCUUCACAAGACUACUCUUGCUUCUUGGCUACCUUCUAGUUCUUUCUACAAACUAGAACUAGUUUCUAGCUUCUAAUAUAUUCUACAAAUCUCUAACUUAGAUAAUUCUAGACUAGCCACCCUACUUUGCAUGCUAGAAUCUUCUAGAACAAUUCAAUGCAUGUUUGAACUAGAACAAUCUAGUUCCCUUAUACCGACUAAGCUUAAUGGGCUGGUGUUGAUCUUUAACACUCCCCCCUCAACACCAGCUCAUUCUUUUCUUCUCGCUAAGUCGACACUUUAUCUUGAACACCCAUUUACAUGAGAUGGGUUUUACUUCUCUUGGCCUUGACACUUAAUCCCAAGUUUGAUAUUUCUUUAACGCAUCGACCUUUUCUGACACCGGAUAAUGGAGAUCAAAGAGAAACCACAAGUGAACACUCAAAGAUAAACAACUCACCACUCUAAGGAAUCCACCAAAGAGAUAAGAGUUUAAGGAUAGGAAGAAAAACACUCUUCACUAAACCAAGUUUAAAAGGUUAAGGAUAGGAAGAAAAACACUCUUCACUAAACCAAGUUUAAAAGUAAUUCUUAAUUUCUGAAUGAUUUAUUUCCAUACAUGAGUAGGGAUUUUUAAUAGUCUAGGCAUGGAACAACCUUCGACCUUCCAUGAAUAGGUUACUAAGCAUGAACUUAAUGUAAGACUAAUCAUGAACUUAAAUGAGAACAUGAACCAUCUUUGAAUUAAAUACGAUGAAUGCACCAUGUAAUAAUUAGAUGAGUCCAAGUUCGGCGUCAUUUUCUCCUAGCUUUAUGCCAUUCAGAAUUCUGUAAUGCUUCUUUACGCAUUGCUUCAACUGCUUCUUCUACUAUGGUUGUGUUGGCGUAUAUGGGAUUUGGCUUCAGUAUUCUCAUUGACCUCCUUAGUUCUGAUUGUGGAGUUGAUACUUCCACUUCAAUAGGUCUAACUUCUCUUGGUGGUUGAUACACACUAGUUUGCCAAUGACCCUUAGGCACUUCUUGCUCGACAUCGUCUCUAGCAAGCAAAUCUUCAGGCUCAUUUGGACUCAAUUGGACUUGGGUAGCUUGGUCUCCCAUUUUCUCCUGCAACAUAUCUUCAAUCUCUUUCGAGUCGGAAAAUGCUUCAUUUUCUGAGCACCAACAAGAUGAUGCUUCUGUGUCCCAUUCUUCCUUCAUAGCUAGAUACGCUACGGUGUCCCAAUCAUCUUCAUUUUCCUCCUUUGAGCUGGCGACAUUACUUUCUGUGGGCUUUUUGAACCAGGAAUCCUUCGCUAUAUGGCCCUUCUUUCCAUAAUUGUAACAUUUGCCCUCAAACCUUUUAUUAUUUUGGGACUGACCACGGUUGUCGUGAUAUUUCGGAGCUACCCCUGGCCGAGAACACCCUUUUCCUUGAUGACCUUUCGCCUUGUCACCAUUUGUUUUAGAUUCUCCAUCAUCACGCUGCUUAAAGCUACCUUUACUUUUGGUGUAGAGCGUUUCCUCCUCACCUUUUAACAAGACCUCUCCCAUUUGCUUUGCCAAAGCUUCUUGAUUGGCAAGCAAAUUCUCAAACUCAACAAGUGAUGGUUGGGUAGGCCAUCCUUGUACAGCGGCAACGAAGCCUCGAUAUUCGGGUCUCAAUCCAUGGAUAAUUAUUCUUUUUAUCCUGAAUUCUACAAUGGCAGCAUUAGGAUCUAACUCAGAAAUUUCACGGCAAAUAGACUUUACCUUGUGGAAAUAUUCGGCAAUCGUCAUGUCUCGUUGGGCCACCGAUAACAACUCGUUCUCAAGAAUCUGCAGUCUUGUAUCAUUCCUCUUUGAAAAGAGUGUGGUGAAGGUGUCCCACCCUUCUUUCGGUGUCUUGGCCUUUCCGUAUGUGCUCCAACAUGUCCUAUUCAAUUGUCGUUUUUAAGGUGAACAUUGCAUUACCUGGCUUGAUCUUCCAUUUCGACAAAGUGCCGCUAGAGUCUUCUUCCGACUGUGUGAUCUCAUUAUCGCCGGUGACAUCCCAAAGAUCUUGGCCUUGUAGGUAAGACUCUAUACAUGUCACCCAUAUGUUGUAAUUUUUUUUUAUUAAGCUUUUUGAUUCCUCCAACAACUUGAAGAUCUCCCAUCGUGUCGACAAAACUUCGAUAAGCCGAACAAGAUUAACUAAUAAUCUUGUAAAGUACUAAACUUCUCACGAUUCUCUAAAGCUUCAAUAGAGAUGGUCCUUUGAUCGUACCGCUCUGAUACCAAUUGUUGAGGAAAAAUUAGAGUACACAACUCUAACACAAGUGUUGGGUGUCUACAAAAUAGAAAAUAUAUUCGAACAAAAAAAAUCAACUAGAUCAAUUUUGAUUCUUCAAAUAGAUUAAACUAAAUUAUAAGUUGGUAAAGAUUAAAACUUUUCUAAAUCCCCCAAAUCACAAGCUAAUCAUGCAUUAGUGAAAAAGAUAUGAAGAGAGAGAGGCUCAUAAGGGGUGGAGAGUCAGAGUCCUUCAAGUAGCCAAGUAUCAUUUUCAAAUCAACUGAGUUGAGAGAUGCAACAACCACCUUGAUCAGCACCUGGUCUUGUUUGGGUUAAAACUUGAACUUUGGGCUCAAGAAGGAGUUGGCCCAAAAGAAAGAGGUCUAGAAGGAGAAAAGCCCGAAGCCCAGCCAAAGCCCAGAAAGCAGGAGAGGCCAUUUCUGACUAGGUGCAGACCAUUUGAACCACUUGCUCACCUACUUAGAGGUCAAGUGGUAUAGACCAGCCAGCUAAUCAGCCCAAAAACAAUUUACAGUGGCGGUACAAGUAAAAAGCUGAUGAGUCAUUGCCCUUCAAGUUGCAUUCGGGCAAGAUUACUGCUUCAGGAGACCAAGCCGAAGUGUCUAUAAAAGAAGAAAGAGAAAUCAAAGAUAAGGACACUCAAUCAAACAAACAAAUACAAGCACAAACUCUGCUCAAACCAGAUUUGCCUUCAACGAAGCUGUAGUCAGCCCAAGUCUUCAUCCAUUUUGGGAUUAACCCUCAACCAAAGCCUUUGUAAUAGCUCUGCUACCUUGUCUAGAACUUGUUGUAGUAUCGAUUUCCUUUUGUAAACCCAUCUCCUUACCCCUCUUUCUAAGCUCUCAAACCCCUUGAUAAACCACAAAGAUAGGAAGUUGCAAGACGAUCAGCCUUGCCCGACCCUCUAUGUUUUUGUCUUUUCAUUCAUUAGUCUAGCAAUAUGUUGUAUACUUCCAGUUGUAUCCAAGUUAUUUCUGGCAAGUUGAUGAUUAAAAAGGCUCAUCAAUUCUUGAAUCCGAUUUAAAUAUGUCUUCACAGAUUAAAUUAGAUCUAAGUUCUAAGCCCUCGGGCAUGUAAGAUUGAUCAUUUAAAAGUCCUUGGUCUCAAGGCAUAAAAAAGAACCUUAUGUGGACUUAACCCAUCCACGACAGUCUUUGAUAAACAAGAAGUCCGAAGUUACUUAGGGCGCAAGUAAUCGACCUAUCCCUUAGUAUUAUUUCUAUUAUAUUAUGAUUAUCGUAGAACGUUUGAGCAUAGAAUGAAUUCUGAUGGGAAGCCUCAAGGCCUACACCUAAGGCCCUACAAAGGCACCUAUUUGGAUUCUUUCUGCUUUUCGGGGGCAAGUAAUCAGAAGUAUAAUAGUCAUAAUACUUCUGUAAUCAAUGAAACAAACAUUAUAUAUUUGAGUACUAGGUUAGUUCCUGAUUGGAAGCCUCAAGGCCUACCCCUAAGGCCCCACAAAGGCACAUUUCAUAACUAAAACAGCCUAUCGGGUAUAUAUACAACUAAAACUCAACAUCUGUUUUACAUCUGCCAUGCUGAAGAUGGCAGUGACACGCCUGAGCACUUAAAAGUUAAUCUUGAUUGUGUGCCUCAAGGCCUAUACCUAAGGCCCCACAAAGGCACAUUUCAAAGUUAACUUUGUCUUUCUUUUUCAGCCUUGCCCGACAAGCCUGCCAGUGAAGCAGAAGCCCGACAGAAAGUAUCGACCGGCGCUAACCUCUCGGGGAGCUGUGUGCUCGUUGGCUAAGAAACACCCCCAACGAAAAUUCUAGCCACGAACAGGUCUUCAUUUGUUUCGGGAACAAGAACAUCCGGAUCGAAGUUCAAAACAUCUGCAAGCUUCCCGUACUCUGAGUACACCCACGCCUUGUUUACAGAUGGUACGGAAACUGUAUCACUUGAAGCUACAGCCACCAUUGAUGCACUGCAAAACCACAAGAACUUGCAAAGGGAAAGGGAAAUGGUUUGUUGUUGUUGUUGUGAGCAAAUGAGUGAGAUACGAUCAGUCUGAGAUCUUGGCACCGUGUCAUUUUAAUGGUGAAGGAGAAGGAUGUGGGUUUUACUGGCGAAGGAGGAGGAUGUAGCUGUUAACUACAUUGAAAUGUUUGGGAAUUAAAGAGAAAAUCAAGAAAAAUCGAUGAAUAGAAGGAUGAACACAGAGAUCUUAGAGAGAGAGAGAUAAAGUUUAGAAAGAGAAAUAUGAGGCUUGUAUUAACUAAAAAUAAAGAUUACACAACUAUGUUUUUAUAAGAGAAUAGCCUACCAACUCUAACCAAAUACUAACAAACUUACUAGAUUGUUGACUUGUACAAUCUUUUUAACUAACCAUCUAACUAUUGGUGUGAAACCCUUAAUAGUAGCAACCACCUUGAUCAGCACCUCAUCCUCCUUAAUUUCAGGAACAGCCAAAAAUAAAAAAUAAAGAUGGUUAUUGGAAAGCGAGUAGUUGAUGUCACAGCCCGUCCCGAGAUUCUAUAUAUCGAGGUUGUGAAAUGACAAAAUUACCCUUAACGGUUACUAAGGUAUGUGUGUGACAUGUUAUUGAUUAUGCAUAUUUCCUAAGUUUUGGAAAAAUUUAAUUGGAUUAAAGGUUAUAUGUAUUUUUGUGGUUAGGGAGUUAAGAAAAAUGGAUGGUGAUGGUUUUGGGAUGGACCACACACACAUACACACGGGUCAAACCUCUCUCUCUCUCCUUCCCGUGCUCUCUCUCUCUCUUCUCUUCUCAGUUCACUCUCUCCCUCUCAAAACUUACGGAUGAGACCAAAUUCCCUCUAAACAUCGCGGAUCGACGCCGAAAAGGUAAGGUUCUUCAUCCUUUCGACCUCCUGAGUCGUUUGGUACUAGUUUUAGAAUGGGAAACCUUAGAAAUCACGUUGAAAACCCGAGGUCCAAUUUGAGUACUGUUCAUGCAUUCGUGAUGUGUUGAUUUUCAGGGAAUUCUAAGCUUAUAGUGAGCUUAGUGAGGUCCUAAGGAAGCUCGGAGUGCUUAGUUUAAAGGUUUUAGACGUCGGGAUCGUUGAGUUCGAAGUUGGCCGGUUUUCUUGGAAUUUCUCCGGUGAGAUUUCGUAGUUUUUAGAGCCUUAAAGUAGUGUAACGUGAAUCUACAUGCUUAGGGCUUCAUUUUGAUAUAAAAUGCGUGAAAAUGGUUGAGAAAUGACGGAGAACAAGGAGAUUGAAAAAUCUCCAGUUUUUCGACGACCGGCGACUAGAGGUUAGGGGUGAUACGCAUGGGGGCACGUGGACCCGUGCCCAUCCUGGCGCGUGCGGCCUCGGAAAAAUUUUCUGAAAAUAUGUCGACGUCCAUGACGUCGAGUAGGUCACUGUGGUAUAUUCAUAUACCCAAAUUGAGCACCGUAUGAGAAGUUAUUUCGAAUUGUCUGUUAUGUGCUUUAAAUAACGUUAUUUUAGUUGUUUCGCAUAUAGGUGAUACCUAUCCCGAGGACGAGCGCAUCCAGGGAUGUCACAGGGGUUACGACCCUUCGACUUAUCAGUGAGUGGGCAGUUAUUUUCUGUUAUUACCUAUAUACUAUUGAUUUUCCCAGAAAUUGAAUUUAAAUGAAAGUAUGUUUUCAAAUGCCAUGCAUGCAUAUUAUGAAUUAUAUGAAUUAGUAAUUGAUGCAUAUAUAUAUAUAUGAAUUGGUGUUGUGGACGCACAUGUGAGUAUCAGGUGAGUUUUAUGUUAUCUAUGUGAAUCAUUUAUGAUGUGAAUUAUGUUGAGAGCUCAUAACCUGCACCCCUGGUGUUAGUGCUUAUAGUAUUCACCGCACCGCACGCUCACCUUGGAUCCAAGUAGGUGCAUGUCGUACAAACCAUGAGAGAGUUCCGACAUACUAGUCGUACAGAUCACUAGAGGUGGUUCCGACUGGUAGGUGACCUUAGAUUAUGUGCACAGAUGAUUGAUGAGAGAAGCACUAAAGCGUAUUAUUACACCAUUCUUGUUGUACAGACUACUUCAGGUAGUUCCGACUUAUGUGCAGAGUAGUGCCGUACAGGUCACCGUGGUGACUCCGGUUGGUUUGGAUAUUGAGCUAUGGAAUUAACCGUACAGGAUCAAUUGCAGGGUCUCCGGUUAAUUCAUUAUGUCACCUGUUAUAUUGAUGCAUUCACAAUCUGUUAUUGACAUUUAUGGCAUGGCAUAUUUUCUGGAAUUGAUAAAGAUUCGUGAUUUGAGUUAUAUGAAGAGUUAUAUGCAUAUUAUGUUAAUUUCUGGGAAAGUAUACAUGUUUUACAGCGAGAGGUUAGAAUUGCUUUUGAUGAAAUGUUUUCGAAAAAAUUUGGUUUUACUGACCCAUUCAAUUUUGUUUUGCGCCCCUCUAGGUUCUAGUUAGCAGCAUUGGUGGCCCACGAGGAUCCCCACGGCGUACUGACAGACUACAUAAAUGUAGGACUCACCUGCGGGUGUUGUAAUCUAGUUAUGGUCCUACUUGACUGCACCUAGUUCUUAUGCUCUGAAUUUGUGUGUUUCACACUUAAACUUACUCUAGCACGUUACUUGGUUAUUAUUGCUAGUAUUUGGUUUUUGUUUAUUCGUAUUUCUCUUAUCUUUUGCUUCCGCGUCGCACUUUUGGUUACGUCACACUCACGUGGUGGCCAGCACGCCUUGAUUCUAGGAUUGGGGUGUGUCAGUUGAGCCCAAACUGGCAAACCGAAGUGUUGUUAAGAAAUUCCCACUAUGGUCUCUAGAGAACAAUCCUAACCCCUAUUAUGACUAGUUGUUCAAAAGGAUCUCCCGUUCUUCCAUCAAAUAUUUUUGGCCCUUUAAAAAUAUCUUUGUAAGUAUCCUUAAAAGUAACUUUGUAAGUUUCAUAUCGUUAGUUAAAAAAUAACAAAUAAAUAUAAAGAUUUGCAAUAUAUCAUAGGAUUUGGAGGAACUGUAAGAGGGAGUACAUCCGCUCUAACCAAUGCCCGUGUUAAAGCUAAAAAACACAGCAAUGAGCAAGUAGGAAGAAAACACACUGCAAACUAGCCAAACUAGAAGCACUAUAUAAAUACACAUAACAUUGCGCCCUUAUUACAAGACUUUCAAACAAGCGGGCAGCAGGAUACAAGUAUAUCACACACGAACAGACUGCAAGCCUGAACUAGUAUACUCUAUUAUCUCAUGGGAUGGGAUACACAACCACCUUUCCGGUAGCUCUGGAGGUUUCAAGAUAGGCAAAUGCUUCAACAGUCUUCGAAAAUGGAUACGGGCCGGUGGGAUCAAGCACCGGCUUCACCUUCCCACUCUCCAAGUAAGGCUUCAGUUUCUCUAAUACAGCUCCGGUUGAAGUAAGCACAAAUAUGAUUGCCGGUGGCGUUACUGGACCUAUGAUUGUCACAACCUUCCCGCCUUCCUUCACCGCCUUCAAUGCCCUGUCACUCUGCCCUGUUUUUGUUAAUUUCAACAACACAAAACAACAUCAGUCAUUGUGCUUGAUUUGUUUAAGAAAAAAACAACGAUGAAAAUUCAAGAAUUAUACCAACUGCAUCAUAAACCACAUCGAAUUUCUCAGGCAGGUCUUCGAAGUUCUCCUUGGUGUAAUCAAUAGCCAAAUCAGCACCCAAGCUUCUCAAAAGAUCGAGUUUUUUCGUGCUCGCUGUAGCUGCUACUUUUGAAGCACUAAACACGCUUUGCUAGCUG